UGAAUACGAGAUGCUACGGCGUCGAAGCAGUGUAUGUCAUACUUCCAAGAAAAGCUCGCAAUGUCAUAAAUAAAGAAUGCCUGUACCAUAACCGACACAGGUGGGUAGGUAGAGUAUACUAAGGGGCGCGAGAUAACUCUCUCUAAGGAACUCGGCAAAAUAACUCCGUAACUUCGGGAGAAGGAGUGCCUUCUUUAAGAAGGUUGCAAUAACAAGAUCCAAGCAACUGUUUAUCAAAAACACAGGUCUCCGCUAAGUCGUAAGACGAUGUAUGGGGGCUGACGCCUGCCCAGUGCCAGAAGGUUAAAGAAGUUGGUUAGCUUUUGCGAAGCUGAUGACUGAAGCCCUGGUGAACGGCGGCCGUAACAAUAACGGUCCUAAGGUAGCGAAAUUCCUUGUCGGGUAAGUUCCGACCCGCACGAAAGGCGUAAUGAUUUGGAUACUGUCUCGGAGAGGGACUCGGUGAAAUAGACUUGUCUGUGAAGAUGCGGACUACCUGCACCAGGACAGAAAGACCCUAUGAAGCUUUACUGUAACUUGAAAUUGAAAUUGGACUUUAUUUGCGCAGUAUAGGUGGAAGGCGUUGAAAGUAAUCUUGCGGGAUUAGUGGAGCCAUCAGUGAGAUACCACUCCUAUAAUGUUAGAUUUCUAACUUUGGAUCAUGAUCUGGUCAAAGAACAGUUUCAGGCGGGCAGUUUGACUGGGGCGGUCGCCUCCCAAAUGGUAACGGAGGCGUACAAAGGUUUCCUCUGAACGGGUAGAAAUCGUAUCUAGAGUGUAAAGGCAUAAGGAAGCUUGACUGUGAGACCUACAAGUCGAGCAGGGACGAAAGUCGGUCUUAGUGAUCUGACGGUGCUGAGUGGAAAGGCCGUCACUCAACGGAUAAAAGUUACUCUAAGGAUAACAGGCUGAUCUCCCCCAAGAGUUCACAUCGACGGGGAGGUUUGGCACCUCGAUGUCGGCUCAUCGCAUCCUGGGGCGGUAGUACGUCCCAAGGGUUGGGCUGUUCGCCCAUGAAAGCGGUACGCGAGCUGGGUUCAGAACGUCGUGAGACAGUUCGGUCCAUAUCCGGUGUAGGCGUUAGAAUAUUGAGAGGAGCCUUCUUUAGUACGAGAGGACCGAGAAGGACAUACCUCUGGUGUACCAGUUAUCGUGCCAACGGUAAACGCUGGGUAGCUAUGUAUGGAGAGGAUAACCGCUGAAAGCAUCUAAGUGGGAAGCCCACCUCAAGAUGAGUAU
RNAcentral lists this ribosomal RNA (1239 nucleotides) under metagenome. RNAcentral's name for it is "bacterial LSU rRNA". It matches the Rfam family "Bacterial large subunit ribosomal RNA", at positions 1564 to 2811 of the family's 2925-position model. The record is from RNAcentral.